UAUCCAUGUUAAUUAGAUGCAUAUCCAGAGCAUAUGCUCUGAAAGAACUCACUCUGGAGCUCACUCCAUCGCAGUCAAUAGGAUUGCAUCUGAAAAUAGCAACAACUGAAACAUAUUAUGAAAAUAAAACAAAUAUUUUCUAUUUCUUUCUUUUUUCUUUUUUUUUUUUUUACCAUGCCAAUAAAUCUACUUGAUUUGCUAUGAGAAGAGACAUGACUUGACCACAGACCACGUCUCUGUUCAUGCACAAGAGCCAAUGCAGAUCGACUCCAAUCAUCUCACUCUUGAUGAGUGUCAGCGGAGGAUUACGAACCUUGUUGUGGGGGAGAAGGACACAUUAUAACCAACUGUCUAGUCCGACCACCAUGCCCAGCACACAAGGCUUGCGGUCGUGUAUAGACUACCGGACCUUAAACUCACAAACAGUUAAGUUCAGCUACCCCCUUCCUAGAACUAGAUGAACGAGGUAUUCCGUGACUUCCUCAACCAGUUCGUCAUCAUCUACAUAGACAACAUCCUCUUUUAUUCCCGAACUCUGACUGAGCAUCGUCAAUAUGUGGAGCAGGUCCUUCAGUGUCUUCGUAAAAAAUAGGUUAAUUCAAACUCUCUUCAAACAAACUG
Long non-coding RNA from Megalobrama amblycephala (Wuchang bream), 621 nucleotides. RefSeq lists it as uncharacterized. The record is from RefSeq and is a predicted model, not a curated record. Lineage: Eukaryota; Metazoa; Chordata; Actinopteri; Cypriniformes; Xenocyprididae. The transcript is spliced from 3 exons.